AAAAAAUAGUCCAUCUAAUUUCUCAGAUUAAAUAAAACAGUUUGAAAUUUUAACUUACAUUUCAUUGUGAUGUUACUAAUUUUUAUUUUUUUUCUUUUCAUGCAAUGUGAAUUCUCUAGUUUGGAACCCAUCUCUAAUGCUGUAAAUAUGUUUGAUAAUACAACAAAUGUUUCAGCGUAUCCCGACAAAGUUUUACAAGCGGUUAGUGAUGGUGGCUACGUUUUCAGCAAGGUAUUUGGCAAAAUAGUGGCAAAUAAGCGUUUAGUUGGUCUUGAUUCAAAGUGGUACUGGUGACAAUAAUCAAUAAUAUUAGUCCUUCCAUCAGAGCUGAAGCCUGGUCAUCGUCUAGUCCCGAUCUUAAUCCGUUGGAUUAUGAUUUAUAGUCAUCAUGAUGACAUGAUAAUUUGAAGUCCCUAACACAAUCCAUAGGAUUGGAAGUGAAGAGUUUUCCCAUUGAGAGAGUGCGUGCUUCUACCGAUAUCUAGCUUCAACGUUUAAAGGACUGUAUU
Pieris brassicae (large cabbage white) is the source of this 509-nucleotide long non-coding RNA. RefSeq lists it as uncharacterized. The record is from RefSeq and is a predicted model, not a curated record. The transcript is spliced from 4 exons. NCBI's taxonomy places the organism in Eukaryota, Metazoa, Arthropoda, Insecta, Lepidoptera, Pieridae.